AGAAUUCCGGCCACCAAUUAAGGCAAUUACCUCCAGGGAUGUGGACGUCAUCGACGGCGACUUGGGAAGAAUUUCCAACGUGAAGUUUCUGUAACCCAAGAUAACGUGCGUCACGAAGAUGAGACCCAAAUGACUAACAUAAUAGCGACGCCACAGAACGUCCAUUCAUCAAAGACCAAUGAAACGUACUGUUCAUAAAAGAUCUGUAGAAUCCGUCACUUGAUCCACUAAUAUACUAGGUUGACUAGCUCAGAUGAUUGGCUGAUAGUUAUUCUUCUACACUACACAAGGUCAUGUGAAGCCCAUAACACUCAAUAACUGCGCAAUUAGAACUCAAUUUUUGGAACGGCAUUGAAAAUUGACCUCAAUGGAGAUGAGGACGCCCCGCACCAUAAUCUUCAUUCACGGACCGUCGCCAUUGUCUUAACCAGAAUACUAAAGUGAUUGGCCCAGCGUGAUUGACGGGACGACCUAUGCGUUUUAAUUAGAGACGCCCCAAUGGUGAACCUCGACUUCCAUCGGAACUUAAGCGAGGACUGGACUCAAUUUCAGAAGAAGCGCUUUCGCUAUUGAGCGUGGUGGACGAUCCGUACGGAUCGAGUGACGACUGGACUGACAUGGAACGGG
Long non-coding RNA from Daphnia pulex (common water flea), 627 nucleotides. RefSeq lists it as uncharacterized. The transcript is spliced from 4 exons. The record is from RefSeq and is a predicted model, not a curated record. Lineage: Eukaryota; Metazoa; Arthropoda; Branchiopoda; Diplostraca; Daphniidae.